Molecule: ribosomal RNA, 505 nt
Filed under: uncultured bacterium
Lineage: Bacteria
Description: partial 16S ribosomal RNA
Rfam family: Bacterial small subunit ribosomal RNA
Source: RNAcentral
GACGAACGCUGGCGGCGUGCCUAAUACAUGCAAGUAGAACGCACGGUUUAUACCGUAGCUUGCUACACCAUAGACUGUGAGUUGCGAACGGGUGAGUAACGCGUAGGUAACCUGCCUGGUAGCGGGGGAUAACUAUUGGAAACGAUAGCUAAUACCGCAUAAUAUUAAUUAUUGCAUGAUAAUUAAUUGAAAGGUGCAAUUGCACCACUACCAGAUGGACCUGCGUUGUAUUAGCUAGUAGGUGAGGUAACGGCUCACCUAAGCGACGAUACAUAGCCGACCUGAGAGGGUGAUCGGCCACACUGGGACUGAGACACGGCCCAGACUCCUACGGGAGGCAGCAGUAGGGAAUCUUCGGCAAUGGACGAAAGUCUGACCGAGCAACGCCGCGUGAGUGAAGAAGGUUUUCGGAUCGUAAAGCUCUGUUGUAAGAGAAGAACGGGUGUGAGAGUGGAAAGUUCACACUGUGACGGUAUCUUACCAGAAAGGGACGGCUAACUACGUG